Scylla paramamosain (green mud crab) is the source of this 538-nucleotide long non-coding RNA. RefSeq lists it as uncharacterized. The record is from RefSeq and is a predicted model, not a curated record. Lineage: Eukaryota; Metazoa; Arthropoda; Malacostraca; Decapoda; Portunidae. The transcript is spliced from 5 exons.
UGCUAGAGGAAGCGAGGCCUCACUUCUGCUGAUAAAAGUAGCCAUGUUAGUGUGUUGGUGCUAUUUCACUUGGCAUCUCGUGUCUUCAUCAUACGGAAGUGGUGAAGAUCACACGCUACGCAGCAGACGUCCAGGAUGCCUCGUGACGACAAGGGCAGCGGUACUCAGCCUCUAGAGGACCAGAAACCCUUAGGACACACACACGACCCCCUGCCGCUCCUCCUUAUGGUCCCAAGUCAGAUGCAGUUCCCGGAGAUCGUCCACGCCGCGGCAACCACGGCGGGCCAGGACCUGUUGUUGGGCCGCUAUCAGCCAAUCAGUCCGUCAGUCACAGCGUAAGGUCAGCCAGGGGGUGGCAGCACAGACGACACGCUGCACGGGGGACGAGGGGCAGUGUGCACCUCUCCUCUGGGGGUGAGAAGUUACCUCAAUGCAGGACUUGAUUUACCUGGAGAUCCACCUCUCUUCUCCAAAUUCUGGAGUGUGUAAUGGAGCAAGUAUGACAACACAUUCUUCUUUGUUUGUUUCCUUGAGAUUU